UGGGGAAUAUUGCACAAUGGGGGAAACCCUGAUGCAGCGACGCCGCGUGAACGAAGAAGGUAUUCGUAUCGUAAAGUUCUGUCCUAUGGGAAGAUAAUGACAGUACCAUAGAAGAAAGCUCCGGCUAAAUACGUGCCAGCAGCCGCGGUAAUACGUAUGGAGCGAGCGUUGUCCGGAAUUAUUGGGCGUAAAGGGUACGCAGGCGGUUUAAUAAGUCGAAUGUUAAAGAUCGGGGCUCAACCCCGCAAAGCAUUGGAAACUGAUAAACUUGAGUAGUGGAGAGGAAAGUGGAAUUCCUAGUGUAGUGGUGAAAUACGUAGAUAUUAGGAGAAAUACCAGUAGCGAAGGCGACUGUCUGGACACAAACUGACGCUGAGGUACGAAAGCGUGGGGAGCAAACAGG
RNAcentral lists this ribosomal RNA (403 nucleotides) under bacterium. RNAcentral's name for it is "partial 16S ribosomal RNA". It matches the Rfam family "Bacterial small subunit ribosomal RNA", at positions 355 to 776 of the family's 1533-position model. The record is from RNAcentral.